This 468-nucleotide ribosomal RNA is filed under the name uncultured bacterium. RNAcentral's name for it is "partial 16S ribosomal RNA". It matches the Rfam family "Bacterial small subunit ribosomal RNA", at positions 28 to 507 of the family's 1533-position model. The record is from RNAcentral.
GACGAACGCUGGCGGCGUGCUUAACACAUGCAAGUCGAACGGAAAGGCCCUGCUUUUGUGGGGUGCUCGAGUGGCGAACGGGUGAGUAACACGUGAGUAACCUGCCCUUGACUUUGGGAUAACUUCAGGAAACUGGGGCUAAUACCGGUUAGGAGCUCCUGCUGCAUGGUGGGUGUUGGAAAGUUUCGGCGGUUGGGGAUGGACUCGCGGCUUAUCAGCUUGUUGGUGGGGGAGUGGCUUACCAAGGCUUUGACGGGUAGCCGGCCUGAGAGGGUGACCGGCCACAUUGGGACUGAGAUACGGCCCAGACUCCUACGGGAGGCAGCAGUGGGGAAUAUUGCACAAUGGGCGGAAGCCUGAUGCAGCAACGCCGCGUGCGGGAUGACGGACUUCGGGUUGUAAACCGCUUUCGCCUGUGACGAAGCGUGAGUGACGGUAAUGGGUAAAGAAGCACCGGCUAACUACGUG